RNAcentral lists this ribosomal RNA (492 nucleotides) under uncultured bacterium. RNAcentral's name for it is "partial 16S ribosomal RNA". It matches the Rfam family "Bacterial small subunit ribosomal RNA", at positions 29 to 507 of the family's 1533-position model. The record is from RNAcentral.
AGUGAACGCUGGCGGUAGGCCUAACACAUGCAAGUCGAACGGCAGCACAGUAAGAGCUUGCUCUUACGGGUGGCGAGUGGCGGACGGGUGAGGAAUACAUCGGAAUCUACUUUUUCGUGGGGGAUAACGUAGGGAAACUUACGCUAAUACCGCAUACGACCUACGGGUGAAAGCAGGGGAUCUUCGGACCUUGCGCGAUUGAAUGAGCCGAUGUCGGAUUAGCUAGUUGGCGGGGUAAAGGCCCACCAAGGCGACGAGCCGUAGCUGGGCUGAGAGGAUGAUCAGCCACACUGGAACUGAGACACGGUCCAGACUCCUACGGGAGGCAGCAGUGGGGAAUAUUGGACAAUGGGCGCAAGCCUGAUCCAGCCAUACCGCGUGGGUGAAGAAGGCCUUCGGGUUGUAAAGCCCUUUUGUUGGGAAAGAAAAGCAGCAGGUUAAUACCCCGCUGUUCUGACGGUACCCAAAGAAUAAGCACCGGCUAACUUCGUG